GCCCGGAUGGUCCAGAGGUUAAGAUUCUCGCUUUGGGAGCCCCAAUUCUUGAAUGCGAGAGAUCCCGCGUUCGAGUCGCGGUUCGGGCC
RNAcentral lists this transfer RNA (89 nucleotides) under Aspergillus sclerotioniger CBS 115572. RNAcentral describes it as "tRNA-Pro". It matches the Rfam family "tRNA". From Rfam's summary of the family: Transfer RNA (tRNA) molecules are approximately 80 nucleotides in length. Their secondary structure includes four short double-helical elements and three loops (D, anti-codon, and T loops). The record is from RNAcentral. Lineage: Eukaryota; Fungi; Ascomycota; Eurotiomycetes; Eurotiales; Aspergillaceae.